UCUGGCAUUAGGAGUCAAAGGGAUUGAAUUAUAUAGUAACCAUAGUUCAGGGUUCCAGAAUAUUUGCUUCGCAUAUAUUCGGCCUAUCCGGACGUCGGGUACCAUUGCUAGAUGGUCACAUCGAUUAGUGUAGGAAGUCGUUUCUAUACUACCGGCUUAGGUUCGAACCUAUGAGGUCACACGCAUAGAAGAUUCCUGAUUGAUCAAGAAGGCUGAUGAAUGAUUAAGAAUCAUUCAAGGGUAAUUUGGUCAAUUCGAUUGGUAAAUUAUCUUAUAAAAUAAUUAAACUAAUUAUCAGAGGAUUAACUAGUAAUUAGAUUGCUAAUGAACUCAAUUGGAUUGAGUAAUUAGACUAAGGAUGAGCCAAAUUGAAUUAGAUUCAAUUCUGGGCUCAAUCAGGGUUUUUGACCUAAUUGGAUUAGGUCUGAAUUAAAAGGACUUAGGUUGACCAAAUUAAAUUAGAUUAAAUUUGUGCUUAAUUAGGGGUUGACCUAAUUGGAUUAGGUUCAACUCAUGAUAAUUGGAUCAUUCUAAUUGUUAGUAUUUAAUUAAAUUAAAUGGGUUUGAUCUGAAACUGUUCGGAUCUUGAAAUCCACUUGUCACAUAUCCAUGCAUGGCGCCAUAAAUAAAUUUUUAAUAUGAUUAAAAAUUAAUUUAAUUUAUUUAAUGGUGCCAUGGGACACUUGGCAACAUCAGGGACCUCUUUUAUCAUUAGAUGGGUCGAAAUGGAGAGAUAAAUUCAUGAAAAGAAUUGGAUAAGAUCAAAUUCUCUCUCUUCAUGGCAUAUGUUAUCCUUAUCUUUAUCUCACUUCUAAUUAAGGUUGAAUUUCGAAUUUAAUCACCACAAAAUCAUCACGUGACCCUCUAAUCUGAUUGGUGGCAUGGGAAUUUCGAAAUUGAAAGAGGGAAGUGGCAACAUGAUGAAUGAUUUAGAUUAGAUCAAGCUUCAUUAUGUAAUGGCACAUGAACUUAAAUUUUGAAUUCAAAAUUCAAAACCCCACAAAAUCCUCCAUAAAUAUGGGAUGGUUGGCAUUAAGUUAGAGGGGAUAGCAACAUUAAAAGGACCUCCAUCAGCUGGUGGUCGAGUUCAAGGAAAAAAGAGAGAAAAAGAAGAAGAAAAAAGGGAAAAGAAAAGGGAGGAAUCCUAGUUCAUGCAUGGAAAAAUUCUGCAUUCAAUCUAGCCGACUUCUUCCUUCUCUAGGUCCAUCGCACCAUUAGUGUUAGGCGUCCCUGAUAAGAAUCUUUAGAUCAGAUCUAAGUCCUCUUCAAUCCCUCCAAACCUUUCCUCCAAGUUCUUCCAAGAAGGCGGUUCAAAAGUUGAUAGCGUUGGGAAGAUCAAAUUUCAGCCUCAAGAAAUUCUGCGCAAGCUAGCACUUCCGCAGGAUUGGAUCUCUUCAGGAACUUCGCAUGUACUUCUCAUAGAGGCCAUUCGUGUGUAUGGCUGCCAAGUCAAGGAUCAGAUCCACAACUUUCAUCCAUCAUAAAAGGUAUUAAUCUAGCAUUAAUCAUUUAUUAUGGUGUCAAGAUCUAGGUCCGAUUCUCCGAGGUUUUACCCUCUUUUAGGGCUCCUCACAGAGAUAUCUCCAAAAUUCAUUCGAUGGAUAUUUGGAGAUUAAUUGGAAUAGAGUUCUUAAGUUUCAGAUCUGAUAGUUAAUCAUGCAAGAAAGUUUUAGUAUAAUUGUUUAAACGAUUUCGGCAUAAUCCUAUGUGUUCUUAAGGUGCUGAUUUCUAGAUUUGAUCUUGUAAGCAUUCAUGAAUUAAAUUGUUUGAUUUGAUUUUUUCGUUGCAUUUUUGAAACUUAAAAAGAAUUACGUAUGGCUUGAUCCCCCUUAUGAAGGGGUACGUAGGCAACCCGAUCAGGUUCAGCCAUGAUUUAAAAAAAAAUAGCAUGCUUAACACCAAAAAACCUAGAAUUCACUUUCAAUGGUAUCAGCGCCAAUUCAUGUUUAAACUUUUAUGUUUUAAUUUUUGCAAUUAAAUCUGAAAUUAUGAGCAUGCUUAGAUUAGAUCUAAAGUAUUUUUAUGAUUAAUUUAAUUGCUGAUUAUGCAUGAUUAACUAGAUCUGAAAUUUUGAAUGCAUAUGAUGCAUGUUUGUGUUAAGAUUUGUAAAAUAAAUAAAUCUGAAAUCAUAAUAUUGUUUAGAUUAGAUCUAAAUAAAAUUUAUGAUUCAAAUGAUCUCUGAUUUUAAUAAACAAAUCAGAUCUGAAAAUAAAAGUAAAAAAACAGAUACAUAAGAUGUAUGUUGUUUGUAUUAAUUCAUGUUGUUAUGUAUAUGUGAUGCAUGAACAUAAAAUAUAAUGACUUAAACAUGAAUUAAAUCUGAUUACAUAUGAUUAAUUACAAAAACUCAGAUCUGAAAAUAUAUUUUAAGAACUAAAAGAUUGUAAUUAAUAUGUAAUUAAAAAAAAUAUGCAAUGAUCAAAACUUUCAUAAGUCUAAACUUAAUUGAGAAUUAAGUGUUAUGAAAUAGAAUUGUAACUCAAUUAAUUGACAUUGCAUAAUUCUUUGGGCAUAUGGGUUAGCUUGAAUCAAGUUCCUAGGAUUGGGUUCGACCUAAGGUUAGAAUCAUACAUGGAUAAAUAGAAUUAAUUUAUCAAAUCUAAUUGUAGUAAUUAGAUUAGGUCAAGAAAAUUCUAGGUCAAUUUACAAUAGUUGCAGAUGGAUCAAGUCCAUGUCUUUGAUUAGACCAAGAUGGAACUUGAUUUAGGCUCAGAGGUGUAGCCCAAAUUAUUUGAGUAAUCAAAUCAAAAUUGAUUAACCAGUCGGUGUCUAAGGUAAGUUUGGCAGUUUUGACCGGUGGUUUUUAAUUGGGAGCUACUCGCACUGAUUCAUCUUUGUCGAGUUAAUGGCAUAUCCCUUCCACCGAUCUCACUUACCUGGCCGACAUGGUCAAUCACAUUUUGAUUGGAUCACUUAAUAAUUCGAGUUAGCCCAUGCCUAUAAGAAAAAUCAGUUGGACUGAUUUAGGUGCCUCCUUAACCGAUUUGAGUCUAAUCUGAUUUGGUGAAGUCAGUGGGAGAAAUUAGACUAACCGGAUCUUCUCAUCUAUCCUAAUUAUGAAAUCCUCUAAAAUUAUUAGGUCCUUAAAAUAAAAUGGUUAUGGGGAUAACUAGGUCAUAGCCUCCCAUUAAGUUGGGUGAUAAUAGGUCC
This 3150-nucleotide long non-coding RNA is filed under the name Phoenix dactylifera (date palm). RNAcentral's name for it is "long non-coding RNA (PDAC_LNC011330)". Lineage: Eukaryota; Viridiplantae; Streptophyta; Magnoliopsida; Arecales; Arecaceae. The record is from RNAcentral.